AACGAACGCUGGCGGCAUGCCUAACACAUGCAAGUCGAACGAGAUCUUCGGGUCUAGUGGCGCACGGGUGCGUAACGCGUGGGAAUCUGCCCUUUGGUUCGGAAUAACAGUUGGAAACGACUGCUAAUACCGGAUGAUGACGAAGGUCCAAAGAUUUAUCGCCAGAGGAUGAGCCCGCGUAGGAUUAGCUAGUUGGUGUGGUAAAGGCGCACCAAGGCGACGAUCCUUAGCUGGUCUGAGAGGAUGAUCAGCCACACUGGGACUGGGACACGGCCCAGACUCCUACGGGGGGCAGAAGUGGAGAAGAUUGGACAAUGAGCGAAAGCCUGAUCCAGCAAUGCCGCGUGAGUGAUGAAGGCCUUAGGGUUGUAAGGCUCUUUUACCCGGGAUGAUAAUGACAGUACCGGGAGAAUAAGCUCCGGCUAACUCCGUGCCAGCAGCCGCAGUAA
RNAcentral lists this ribosomal RNA (449 nucleotides) under uncultured bacterium. RNAcentral's name for it is "partial 16S ribosomal RNA". It matches the Rfam family "Bacterial small subunit ribosomal RNA", at positions 29 to 523 of the family's 1533-position model. The record is from RNAcentral.